RNAcentral lists this ribosomal RNA (478 nucleotides) under Acidimicrobiales bacterium. RNAcentral describes it as "bacterial SSU rRNA". It matches the Rfam family "Bacterial small subunit ribosomal RNA", at positions 1 to 465 of the family's 1533-position model. The record is from RNAcentral. Lineage: Bacteria; Bacillati; Actinomycetota; Acidimicrobiia; Acidimicrobiales.
CAAUUGAAGAGUUUGAUCAUGGCUCAGAUUGAACGCUGGCGGUAACUUUUAAACAUGCAAGUCGAGCGGUAACAGACAUAAAGAUUCAGCUUGCUGAAUCCGGUGCUGACGAGCGGCGAACGGGUGAGUAACGCGUAGGAAUCUACCCAGUAGCGGGGGAUAGCCCGGGGAAACCCGGAUUAAUACCGCAUACGCCCUAAGGGGGAAAGGGGGCAGCUUGCUGCUCUCACUAUUGGAUGAGCCUGCGUAAGAUUAGCUUGUUGGUGGGGUAAAGGCCUACCAAGGCAACGAUCUUUAGCUGGUCUGAGAGGACGAUCAGCCACAUUGGGACUGAGACACGGCCCAGACAUCUACGGAUGGCAGCAGUUAAGAAUAUUGGACAAUGGGGGCAACCCUGAUCCAGGUAUACCGCGUGUGUGAAGAAGGCCUUAGGGUUGUAAAGCACUUUAAGCAAUGAAGAAGAAAAAUAAGUUAAUAC